RNAcentral lists this long non-coding RNA (373 nucleotides) under Panicum hallii. RNAcentral describes it as "long non-coding RNA (PHAL_LNC000690)". The record is from RNAcentral. Lineage: Eukaryota; Viridiplantae; Streptophyta; Magnoliopsida; Poales; Poaceae.
GCAACCAUGACGGAUGUCCUAACAAAAGUUUAGUGGUUUAUCCCUGGGAUUCUUCUACCAAAAAUAGAAGGUUGCAGAGACAAAUUAGUUUUAAUUUCACCAUGUUCUCCUGAACUCUCGACAUUCAGAUUUAGAGUUUCAAGACGGCAGAUCAUUAUGGACAUUGAUUCAGUUUUGAUUACUGAAAUGCUGCAAUGGACACCCAGAAUCACCAUUCCACUAAGUCGAGCUGAUGUUAACAUCAGGAAAGGGAUUUAAAAGAUGUGAAUAGAAGUCAAAACCAUCAUCGAAGGAUCAAUCUCCGGGUGAUCUGUUACAUGCCCAAUGCACCCACUGCCACCACUGCUGUAAGGCGACAUGCCCAAGUGCACCC